Molecule: ribosomal RNA, 487 nt
Filed under: uncultured bacterium
Lineage: Bacteria
Description: partial 16S ribosomal RNA
Rfam family: Bacterial small subunit ribosomal RNA
Source: RNAcentral
GAUGAACGCUAGCGAUAGGCUUAACACAUGCAAGUCGAGGGGCAGCACAAGGUAGCUUGCUAUCUGGGUGGCGACCGGCGCACGGGUGCGCAACGCGUAUGCAACUUGCCCUAUACAGGAGGAUAACCCGUCGAAAGACGGACUAAUACUGCGUAUGCUCACAACUUGGCAUCAAGUGGUGAGGAAAGAAAUUCGGUAUAGGAUAGGCAUGCGUCCCAUUAGCUUGUUGGUGAGGUAACGGCUCACCAAGGCAACGAUGGGUAGGGGUACUGAGAGGUUUAUCCCCCACACUGGUACUGAGACACGGACCAGACUCCUACGGGAGGCAGCAGUGAGGAAUAUUGGUCAAUGGGCGCGAGCCUGAACCAGCCAAGUCGCGUGAAGGAUGACUGUCUUAUGGAUUGUAAACUUCUUUUAUACGGGAAUAACAAGAGUCACGUGUGACUCCCUGCAUGUACCGUAUGAAUAAGCAUCGGCUAACUCCGUG